CAUGCCUUCUGCAGUGUUCUAUGAGUCAUAUGGUUCAUCCUGAUUUAGGCUGUAAGCAGAUUGCAUCAUGGCGCGGAUACCAGGAGGUGGGGAUCAUGGGGGUCCAUCCUAGAGGCUGACCCAAGCAGAGGAAAGGAGAUAAUUACUGGAACAAUGUCUCCCCAUAGGCAUGAGUAUAUGGAAUUUAGUGCAAAAGGAGAGGAAAUAGCCUUUGUUAGGGACACAGAGGGAUCUUUGAUAGUAAUAGUAUAUAGGUGCAGUUAGAGGAGAAAGUAUGGUUGUGUAUAAAAGGGGUCAACCUCAGCUCUGUACUGUGAAAUGGACCUAUGGUUCUUGUCUUAGUCCAUUUUGUGUUGCUCUAGAGGAACAUCUGAGGCUGCGCAAUCUCUAAGGAAAAGAGGUUUAUUUGGCUCACUGCUCUGUGGGCUGUACAAGAAGCAUGGCACCAGCAUCUGCUCCUGGUGAGAGGCUCAGGCUGCUUCCACUCAUGGCAGAAGCUUGCUCUGGCUAACAACCACUAUCAUCAAAGUUGUCUGAGGAAGACCUCCUGUUGCUGUGACUGACGGGACUCUUGGUGGAAGCCCUAUUCCCAUGUGCCCAUGGCUGCAGCUCCCCAAGGAAGCAGGACAUUGUUGGAUUCUCUAAGAAGCUCAGAGGAAGUUACUUCUCACUGUGGUGCCAUAUGGGAUUUGAAGUCGUUCUACUCAUGCUCUGUUUUUCAAUAAAGCUGCUUCUGCCUCU
This 741-nucleotide long non-coding RNA is filed under the name Homo sapiens (human). Its description in RNAcentral is "HSALNT0323177". The record is from RNAcentral. Lineage: Eukaryota; Metazoa; Chordata; Mammalia; Primates; Hominidae.